CCUACGGGGGGCAGCAGUGGGGGAUAUUGCACAAUGGGGGGAACCCUGAUGCAGCGACGCCGCGUGGGUGAAGAAGCGCCUCGGCGCGUAAAGCCCUGUCAGCAGGGAAGAAAAUGACGGUACCUGAAGACGAAGCCCCGGCUAACUACGUGCCAGCAGCCGCGGUAAUGCGUAGGGGGCAAGCGUUAUCCGGAUUUACUGGGUGUAAAGGGGGCGCAGACGGCGAUGCAAGCCAGGAGUGAAAGCCCGGGGCCCAACCCCGGGACGGCUCUUGGAACUGCGUGGCUGGAGUGGAGGAGGGGCAGGCGGAAUUCCUGGUGUAGCGGUGAAAUGCGUAGAUAUCAGGAGGAACACCGGUGGCGAAGGCGGCCUGCUGGACUGCAACUGACGUUGAGGCCCGAAAGCGUGGGGAGCAAACAGGAUUAGAUACCCGUGUAGUC
This 440-nucleotide ribosomal RNA is filed under the name uncultured bacterium. RNAcentral's name for it is "partial 16S ribosomal RNA". It matches the Rfam family "Bacterial small subunit ribosomal RNA", at positions 338 to 795 of the family's 1533-position model. The record is from RNAcentral.